UCGGGAAUCUUGCGCAAUGGGCGAAAGCCUGACGCAGCAACGCCGCGUGGGGGACGAAGGCCCUCGGGUCGUAAACCCCUUUCAGCAGGGACGAAGAUGACGGUACCUGCAGAAGAAGCCCCGGCCAACUACGUGCCAGCAGCCGCGGUAACACGUAGGGGGCGAGCGUUGUCCGGAUUUAUUGGGCGUAAAGAGCUCGUAGGCGGUUCGGUAAGUCAGAUGUGAAAACCCAGGGCUCAACCCUGGGAAGCCAUUUGAUACUGCCGUGACUAGAGUCCGGUAGGGGAGCGUGGAAUUCCUGGUGUAGCGGUGAAAUGCGCAGAUAUCAGGAGGAACACCAGCGGCGAAGGCGGCGCUCUGGGCCGGUACUGACGCUGAGGAGCGAAAGCGUGGGGAGCGAACAGGAUUAGAUACCCAUGUAGUCCCUGAGCGGGCUGGCAAGGCGCAU
RNAcentral lists this ribosomal RNA (448 nucleotides) under uncultured bacterium. Its description in RNAcentral is "bacterial SSU rRNA". It matches the Rfam family "Bacterial small subunit ribosomal RNA", at positions 355 to 825 of the family's 1533-position model. The record is from RNAcentral.